CACCCAUCACAGAAGGAAGCUCCCUGCAGCGGAGGGUUCAGAGUGAAGCCCAGGCCCUUCAAGCCCAGAUGCAGAGGGAUGGUGAAGCCGGGUUGCCCCAGCUAUUAAUUUUUUUCCAGCUAUUAAUUUUUAAUUGGAUUCAACUGAAGAAGUGUGGACCAAAGGCCUGUCCACAACUCCUCCUGGACCAUCUGGGCAUAUCGGUGUCACUGUCUUCUAAGGCAACUAAUUCCAUCAGCUCAAUAUUCCUGGCUUCUAGAAAGAGCUCCAGCCUGUUUUCUUACAGCUUCUACCUGUCAGCCAGGUUCCGACCACCAAGAGCAGAGUGACCCCCAUGCACGGGGCAAGUGGGAGGGCAGGAUCCAGUCAGAUCAAGUGGGGUUGCAAGCCAACUGCUCCACUAAUCAACUGAGUGACACUAGACAUGGGAUUUGGGCUCUUGGGGCCUCAGCUCCCCAAUCUGUAAAAUGGGGACACUAAGUCACUGUGGAGGGUUCCUAUAGGAUCAGGUGAGAUGACACAAGGAAAGCUGUGAACUCAGUACCCAGAACUGCAGUGAUGACUACUUGUUAUUCUUUUUCUUAUUUCUCCAUCUGUCUGCUGUGCCUUGGAAGUAGCCAAGGGCUCCAAUCAUACACCCUCACCUUGCUACUGGCUUACCUUCUUCCAGCUAAACACACACAGCCCUUCCUUCAGUGGUCACCCUGUCACUGAGUCUCAGGCUCUUGACUCUCUGGAGCCUUCCACCAAGUCUCCAAAUGAGAAAACUUGGGAGGAAAAGGGAUAGGCCCCUUUUGAUUUUUUUGCCCAUACCACACAGCAUGCGGGAUCUCUGUUCUCCAACCCAGGAUGGAACCCUCACCCCCUUCAGUGGAAGUGUGGAGUCUUAACCACUGGACCACCAGGUAAGUCCCCCCUUUUGAUUUUUAAGAACAGACCUAUAGAUAUGGAAGGAGCUCAAACACAGCAAAGGAUAAAACCAGAACCUGGAUGAAGCCAAGGCUUCCUGAACCCAAGGAAGGGAAGCAGAGCCCAGCUCAGAAUAAGAAACUACUGUCCUUUCUGAGGAUUUGAGCUCUUCAAAGGUGGGAAGAGCUGUCCCUGGAGGGAGUGAACUCCCUAUCUUUGGAAAUAUUCAAGGUGGAUGACACCGCCAGGGAUAUGGUGUCUGGGGACAUGGUGUCUGAAGGGACUUCUGCGCUGAGGGGGACUUUGAUCUAAAUGAUGUCAAAGAUCACAGUAAAGAAACAAGGAAUUCCUUCUUCAUUCAUUUGACCAAUAUUUAUUGCUGAAUGCCUAGCGAUGACUAGCUCUGUGCCAGUUCCUCUCCUGGGUGUACAGUUCACACUAAGAGAAGAAUCUGAACUCAGGAAGCAUUUCAAAAACAGGGCUCCUUUGGAACAGUGUGGAGAUUCCUUAAAAAACUGGAAAUAGAAGUGCCAUAUGACCCAGCAAUCCCACUGCUGGGCAUACACACCGAGGAAACCAGAACUGAAAGAGACACGUGUACCCCAGUGUUCAUCGCAGCACUGUUUACAAUAGCCAGGACAUGGAAGCAACCUAGGUGUCCAUUGGCAGAAGAAUGGAUAAGAAAGCUGUGGUACAUACACACAAUGGGUUAUUACUCAGUCAUUAAAAAGAAUACGUUUGAAUCAGCUCUAAUGAGGUGGAUGAAACUGGAGCCUAUUAUACAGAGUGAAGUAAGUCAGAAAAGAAAAACACCAAUAUAGUAUAUUAACGCAUAUAUAUGGAAUUUAGAAAGAUGGUAAUGAUGACUCUAUAUGUGAGACAGCAAAAGAGACACAGAUAUAAAGAACAGACUUUUGGACUCUGUGGGAGAAGACGAGGGUAGGUUGAUUUGAGAGAAUAGUAUUGAAACAUGUAUAUUAUCAUAUGUGAAAUAGAUCGCUAGUCCAGGUUCAAUGGAUGAGACAGGGCGCCCAGGGCUGGUGCACUGGGAUGACCCUGAGGGAUGGGAUGGGGAGGGAGGUGGGAGGGGGUUCAGGAUGGGGAAAACAUGUACACCCAUGGCUGAUUCAUGUCAAUGUAUGGCAAAAACCACUACAAUAUUGUAAAGUAAUUAGCCUCCAAUUAAAAUAAAUAAAUAAAUUUUUUUAAAAAGAAAAAGACU
Molecule: long non-coding RNA, 2131 nt
Organism: Bos indicus x Bos taurus (hybrid cattle)
Lineage: Eukaryota; Metazoa; Chordata; Mammalia; Artiodactyla; Bovidae
Source: Ensembl